AGUGAACGCUGGCGGUAGGCCUAACACAUGCAAGUCGAACGGCAGCACAGUAAGAGCUUGCUCUUACGGGUGGCGAGUGGCGGACGGGUGAGGAAUACAUCGGAAUCUACUUUUUCGUGGGGGAUAACGUAGGGAAACUUACGCUAAUACCGCAUACGACCUACGGGUGAAAGCAGGGGAUCUUCGGACCUUGCGCGAUUGAAUGAGCCGAUGUCGGAUUAGCUAGUUGGCGGGGUAAAGGCCCACCAAGGCGACGAUCCGUAGCUGGACUGAGAGGAUGAUCAGCCACACUGGACCUGGGACACGGUCCAGGCUCCUACGGGAGGCAGCAGAGGGGAAUAUUGGACAAUGGGCGCAAGCCUGAUCCAGACAUACCGCGUGGGUGAAGAAGGCCUUCGGGUUGUAAAGCCCUUUUGUUGGGAAAAAAAAGCAGCAGGUUAAUACCCCGCUGUUCUGACGGUACCCAAAGAAUAAGCACCGGCUAACUUCGUG
This 492-nucleotide ribosomal RNA is filed under the name uncultured bacterium. RNAcentral's name for it is "partial 16S ribosomal RNA". It matches the Rfam family "Bacterial small subunit ribosomal RNA", at positions 29 to 507 of the family's 1533-position model. The record is from RNAcentral.